This 566-nucleotide ribosomal RNA is filed under the name uncultured bacterium. RNAcentral describes it as "bacterial SSU rRNA". It matches the Rfam family "Bacterial small subunit ribosomal RNA", at positions 337 to 917 of the family's 1533-position model. The record is from RNAcentral.
UCCUACGGGAGGCAGCAGUGGGGAAUUUUCCGCAAUGGGCGAAAGCCUGACGGAGCAAUACCGCGUGAGGGAAGACGGCCUAUGGGUUGUAAACCUCUUUUUUCAGGGAGGAAUUUUGACGUGUACCUGAAGAAUAAGCAUCGGCUAACUCCGUGCCAGCAGCCGCGGUGAGACGGAGGAUGCAAGUGUUAUCCGGAAUCACUGGGCGUAAAGCGUCUGUAGGUGGUUAAGCAAGUCAACUGUUAAAUCUUGAGGCUCAACUUCAAAAUCGCAGUCGAAACUGUUUGACUAGAGUAUAGUAGGGGUAAAGGGAAUUUCCAGUGGAGCGGUGAAAUGCGUAGAUAUUGGAAAGAACACCGAUGGCGAAGGCACUUUACUGGGCUAUUACUGACACUCAGAGACGAAAGCUAGGGUAGCAAAUGGGAUUAGAUACCCCAGUAGUCCUAGCCGUAAACAAUGGAUACUAGAUGUUGAACAGAUCGACCUGUGCAGUAUCAAAGCUAACGCGUUAAGUAUCCCGCCUGGGAAGUAUGCCCGCAAGAAUGAAACUCAAAGGAAUUGACGGA